UACGUAGGGUGCGAGCGUUGUCCGGAAUUACUGGGCGUAAAGCGUGCGCAGGCGGUUUUGUAAGUCUGGCGUGAAAGCCCCGGGCUCAACCUGGGAAUUGCGAUGGAGACUGCAAGGCUUGAAUCUGGCAGAGGGGGGUAGAAUUCCACGUGUAGCAGUGAAAUGCGUAGAGAUGUGGAGGAACACCGAUGGCGAAGGCAGCCCCCUGGGUCAAGAUUGACGCUCAUGCACGAAAGCGUGGGGAGCAAACAGG
RNAcentral lists this ribosomal RNA (253 nucleotides) under uncultured bacterium. RNAcentral's name for it is "partial 16S ribosomal RNA". It matches the Rfam family "Bacterial small subunit ribosomal RNA", at positions 524 to 776 of the family's 1533-position model. The record is from RNAcentral.